RNAcentral lists this ribosomal RNA (1981 nucleotides) under human gut metagenome. RNAcentral's name for it is "bacterial LSU rRNA". It matches the Rfam family "Bacterial large subunit ribosomal RNA", at positions 3 to 1980 of the family's 2925-position model. The record is from RNAcentral.
UCAAGCUAAUAAGAGCACAGGGUGGAUGCCAGGGCACCAGACGCCGAAGAAGGACGCGAUCAGCUGCGAUAAGCCAUGGUGAGCCGCAAAUAGGCUUUGACCCAUGGAUGUCCGAAUGAGGAAACUCAGCACGGGUAAUGCCGUGUUACCGCAUGAUGAAUCCAUAGUCAUGCGGGGGAAACCCGGGGAACUGAAACAUCUAAGUACCCGGAGGAAGAGAAAUCAACCGAGAUUCCCUUAGUAGCGGCGAGCGAAAGGGGAAGAGGCCAAACCGAUUGACUACGGUCGGUCGGGGUUGUGGACUGACACAAGGACUGCAAAGGAUAGCAGAAUCCGUUGGGAAGCGGAAUCAAAGAGGGUAAGAAUCCCGUAUGCGAAAUCCGAAGCGGCCGGUCAGGAUCCAGAGUACCACAGGACACGAGAAAUCCGGUGGGAAGCCGGGGGGACCACCCUCCAAGCCUAAAUACGUUCUGGUGACCGAUAGCGCAUAGUACCGUGAGGGAAAGGUGAAAAGAACCCCGGGAGGGGAGUGAAAGAGAACCUGAAACCGUAUGUCUACAAGCAGUCGGAGCGAAAGCGACGGCGUGCCUAUUGAAGAAUGAACCAACGAGUUACGUGCACUAGCGAGGUUAAGUGGAAGACACGGAGCCGGAGCGAAAGCGAGUCUUAAGAGGGCGGAUAGUUAGUGUACGUAGACCCGAAACCGCAGUGAUCUACCCAUGUCCAGGUUGAAGCGCAGGUAAAAUUGCGUGGAGGACCGAACCUGUGAGCGUUGAAAAGCUUUAGGAUGAGAUGUGGGUAGCGGUGAAAUUCCAAUCGAACGCGGAGAUAGCUGGUUCUCCCCGAAAUAGCUUUAGGGCUAGCCUCAGGCAGUAAGUAUAGGCGGUAGAGCACUGAUCGGGCUAGGGGCCGUAAAGGUUACCGAACCCUGUCAAACUCCGAAUGGAUAUACUGCAGAGCCUGGGAGUCAGACUACGAGUGAUAAGAUCCGUGGUCAAAAGGGAAACAGCCCAGACCACCAGCUAAGGUCCCCAAUGCCGUACUAAGUGGAGAAGGAUGUGGGGUCUCUAAAACAACCAGGAUGUUGGCUUAGAAGCAGCCACCAUUUAAAGAGUGCGUAAUAGCUCACUGGUCGAGAGACCCUGCGCCGAAGAUUACCGGGGCUAAAGUACGGAACCGAAGCUGUGGCUACAUACGUAAGUAUGUGGGGUAGGGGAGCGUUGUCUGAGGGCAGAAGUCGUACUGGAAGGUACGGUGGACUUCAGAGAAGUGAGAAUGUUGGUAUGAGUAGCGAAAAGAAAGGUGAGAAUCCUUUCCACCGAAAGCAUAAGGAUUCCUGGGCAACGAUCGUCGUCCCAGGGUAAGUCGGGACCUAAUCCGAGGCAGAGAGCGUAGGAGAUGGACAACUGGCAGAUAUUCCAGUACCGGUAAUGAUUGUUUGAGCGAAGGAGUGACACAGGAGGGCAGGCAGGCAGGAGAUUGGAAGUUCCUGUACAAGCGUGUAGGAUAGGUUACAGGCAAAUCCGUAACCUGAAAGUCUGAGGCGUGAUGUGGAGAGAAUAGAGAUAUUCUUGAAGCUGUUGACCCCACACUGUCGAGAAAAGCUUCUAGUGAGAGAAUUACCGCCCGUACCGUAAACCGACACAGGUAUGCGGGGAGAGAAUCCUAAGGUGCGCGGGAGAACCCUCGUUAAGGAACUCGGCAAAAUGUACCCGUAACUUCGGGAUAAGGGUAGCCGGCGUUGUGAAGGAAUUAACUUCUGGAGCAUAGACCGGUCGCAGAGAAGAGGCCCAAGCGACUGUUUACCACAAACACAGGUGCCUGCUAAAGAGAAAUCUGACGUAUAGGUGCUGACACCUGCCCAGUGCCGGAAGGUUAAGGAAGGAUGUCCGGAGUAAUCCAAAGCAUUCGACCGAAGCCCCGGUGAACGGCGGCCGUAACUAUAACGGUCCUAAGGUAGCGAAAUUCCUUGUCGGGUAAG